Molecule: ribosomal RNA, 112 nt
Filed under: Zingiber officinale
Lineage: Eukaryota; Viridiplantae; Streptophyta; Magnoliopsida; Zingiberales; Zingiberaceae
Source: RNAcentral
GCGAUCAUACCAGCACUAAUGCACCGGAUCCCAUCAGAACUCCGAAGUUAAGCGUGCUUGGGCGAGCAGUACUAGGAUGGGUGACCCCCUGGGAAGUCCUCGUGUUGCACCU